Molecule: ribosomal RNA, 408 nt
Filed under: Triticum aestivum (bread wheat)
Lineage: Eukaryota; Viridiplantae; Streptophyta; Magnoliopsida; Poales; Poaceae
Description: partial small subunit ribosomal RNA
Source: RNAcentral
AUGCACCGGGUUUCAUGGAAAAACCUUGCUACACCAAAGUGCAAAGGAGGUAUGUGUUUUCGAGAACCCCAUCAGUUUAAUCUUGCACUAUUAGGGAAAUACGGCUGGAGGUUCUUAACGAACCCAGAUUCUUUAUGUGCGAGAGUAUUAAAAGGGCGUUACUUCCCUGAUACAGAUUUCAUGCAUGCAACUAUUCCUAAAUCUGCUUCUGCAACUUGGAGAGCUAUUAUAGCAGGUAGGGAAGCUUUGGUUGCUGGUCUAAUAAAAAGAGUUGGUGAUGGGACUUCCAUCGAUGCCUGGACGGAUAAAUGGAUUCCUGGAACUAUUUCUAUGUCCCCUAUGUUGAAACCGAUGAACACCAAUGUCCAGUUUGUUUCGGACUUGAUUGAUGUGGACAAUUGGUCAUGA